GAUGAACGCUGGCGGCGUGCCUAACACAUGCAAGUCGAGCGAGGGUUUGCUCAGUAUUGAGUAUUCUAAGUCUAGAAUGUUCAAUUCUGAGCAAAACCAAGCGGCGGACGGGUGAGUAACGCGUGGGUAACCUGCCCUAUACACAUGGAUAACAUACUGAAAAGUUUACUAAUACAUGAUAAUAUAUAUUUGUGGCAUCGCAGAUAUAUCAAAGUGUUAGCGGUAUAGGAUGGACCCGCGUCUGAUUAGCUAGUUGGUGAGAUAACUGCCCACCAAGGCGACGAUCAGUAGCCGACCUGAGAGGGUGAUCGGCCACAUUGGAACUGAGACACGGUCCAAACUCCUACGGGAGGCAGCAGUGGGGAAUAUUGCACAAUGGGCGAAAGCCUGAUGCAGCAACGCCGCGUGAACGAUGAAGGUCUUCGGAUCGUAAAGUUCUGUUGCAGGGGAAGAUAAUGACGGUACCCUGUGAGGAAGCCCC
RNAcentral lists this ribosomal RNA (481 nucleotides) under Peptostreptococcus stomatis. RNAcentral's name for it is "bacterial SSU rRNA". It matches the Rfam family "Bacterial small subunit ribosomal RNA", at positions 28 to 494 of the family's 1533-position model. The record is from RNAcentral. Lineage: Bacteria; Bacillati; Bacillota; Clostridia; Peptostreptococcales; Peptostreptococcaceae.